This is a long non-coding RNA of Lolium rigidum, 1590 nucleotides long. RefSeq lists it as uncharacterized. The record is from RefSeq and is a predicted model, not a curated record. The transcript is spliced from 2 exons. NCBI's taxonomy places the organism in Eukaryota, Viridiplantae, Streptophyta, Magnoliopsida, Poales, Poaceae.
GGUAAUUUAACACCUAUUGUUCUACGUUUUCAUUCAUAUAUAUAUUAGUGCAUAUCUAUGUCACAACUGUAUUUUUAUGGUCUUUUAUUUGAAAUUCAGAAGGAAUCGCUUAGUGUUCUGUCUCUGGCUCCUUUUUCAUAUCGUUUUAUUCUAUUGAUAUUUCAAAGGUUUCCCAAUUAAUAAGUUGACAGAUGAAAAUGAUAUUUAUGUGAGUUGUCACUGAAUUAUGUUUAGGGUACUAAUUUUAGUUUCUUUGUACUUAUGUUCUGUACCAGGUAGAGUGCAAUGCCGUUUGAUUUUCUCAAUUUGGCAUAAUGAUUGGUUUUUUAGGAAAUACAUUCUGGAAAUUUUGCUUGAUGAUUCUUCUGCCAUGAUUUAUGUGGAUCGCUAAAGUAACAUUACUAUUCAUUUUUCAUGUGGUGUGUUGUUGGCUAGACUUAGUUUAUUGUGUAUAAAAAUAGAUCAACCAUUCAAAUACCUUUUAUGUGUUAUAAGAGCAAGAAACAACAUUUGAUUAGUAUUAGUUUCUGUGAGCAUUGCUUUAUUUAUAACGAGCAAACAAUACUCUUUGCUAUAUAGCAUUUCUGCCUACCAUCUAAAACUGAGCACCUCUUUUGUAGGGAAUGAUUUUUGUGGCAUCCAUUCACUGGCACACUAGGUCUCCCAGUGCCGCCUUAUCGCUGAUUCAAUCCUAGCUGCCGCAUCACCAUUCUUGAUGUCACCACCACCGCGACAAGGUUGUGGUCAUGUCCUCAGGUAAAUAUUCACCGGAGAAAAACUACAGGCAGAUAUCGUAGUUCCUAUGUUCAACUGGUUGUAGCCUGCCGUGCAUAUGUUUUGUUGAAAUUAUGAAGGUAUUAAUUAUUGUAUUUGAUGUUUAUUUCUGAUUGCUUUCUCAUUGCAUUAUUUUUCACAGUUACAGAUUGCUGUGUACUUUGAUUUUUCUUCACCAUGACUUCUUAACCUCAUGUCAGUAAUCAUUUCAUCAUUUUAUUGGCUCCGUUCUGUCUUUCCACAUUCUAUAAUAAGUAUAUGCCGGUUUUAAAUAAAGUUCUUGCUCAGCUUAAGGGAAAAAGUACCAUGUAAGUGAGAGAUAUAUUUCACCACCUUUGGCUCUCUAUUCACCUAUGCAGUAACAGAUUGGUUAAAACUGGCAGUAUUCACUGCCUUAUCUAUCCAUAAAUUAGCUAGAGCCAAAUAUUUUGUCCUACAGAAGCAUAUUUUAUUUGUUUUUUCCAUAUUAAGAAUAGUGAUUUUCGUAAUUUUACUGUACUAAAAUAUUGAUGCGAUGUGUUUCCCAAAAGGAAACUUAGUAAUCAGUCACAAAUUAUACAUAGACAUACCUGUGAAUCAUGCAGAUUGCACACCUUCAGGACUUGGUCUUUUCUUUUGCUAAACACUUCAUGGAUGCACAUAUUAAUAUUUAUCCACAUUAGGUUAUUUCAGCACGAGAGUAGUUGAUACCGUUGUUUCCGACUCAGGAUUUGCAGCUUCCGUCAUCAGCGAGAGAUGAUAGCUGGGAAUGUCGGUGUUCUGUGCUGUUGAGUUAUGGGUGAGCCAACUAAUUGUGGAUGACAAAUAAAGUGUCAG